This 105-nucleotide non-coding RNA is filed under the name Sporolactobacillus laevolacticus. Its description in RNAcentral is "SAM-I sequence". It matches the Rfam family "SAM riboswitch aptamer (S box leader)". From Rfam's summary of the family: The SAM riboswitch is found upstream of a number of genes which code for proteins involved in methionine or cysteine biosynthesis in Gram-positive bacteria. The SAM riboswitch acts at the level of transcription termination control. Lineage: Bacteria; Bacillati; Bacillota; Bacilli; Caryophanales; Sporolactobacillaceae. The record is from RNAcentral. RNAcentral also lists the same sequence under 1 other name.
AUCUUAUCAAGAGUGGCGGAGGGACUGGCCCGACGAAGCCCGACAACCAGCACAGAUUGUGUGUAUGGUGUUAAUUCCAGCAGAUUAAGUUCUGGCAGAUAAGAA